GUUGUGGCUCAGUGGUAGAGCAUCUGCUUUGCAUAUAAAAGGUCUUCAGUUCAAUUCCAGGCAUCUACA
Podarcis lilfordi (Lilford's wall lizard) is the source of this 69-nucleotide non-coding RNA. The record is from the annotation of a GenBank genome assembly. Lineage: Eukaryota; Metazoa; Chordata; Lepidosauria; Squamata; Lacertidae.